UUCUUAAGUCUAUCAAGUUUGAUGAUACCUAUUGUUAAGGGAAAUUCAAGUUGGGCAAAUCACCAGAAGGCAAUUAAAGUAACAAAAGAAAUGUAACAUUUUAUCUAACUGGAGAUGAAGCAUAGUCUCACCUAUAUACAGUUAUUGCCAUGAAUAAAAUUUUACAUUAUAUUAGGAAGAAAUGACACUGAAUGGGCCAUCUAUAGCACCAGCCUGACUAGGAAAGUUAAUUUCCAACAUCAUAUCUUUAACUGUAACAUUAAAAAUAUAUAAUUAGAAAGAAAAAGGAGAAUGAGUUCUCAGUCUUCUGUCAGGAAAAGUCAAGUGGGCCUGACAUUAAGAAGGAAGUACUUGUUCUAUCACUCAUCUGUUUGGGUGGGUUGUAGUAACCUGUGGGACAUCAAAUGAGCUUGAUAAAUGCUUCCCAAAGGCCAAGGGAAGGUGCUCACCCCUACAAAGAGGAGGCUAGAGGGAGUGGAGUCAGAUGAGAGGGGGCUGAACAGCAAAGAUCGGCAGAUACGGAAGGGGCAUGGUGAUUGAGCGACUUCCAAAGAAAGAGCAGGCAUAUCCCUCCCCUUUCACAAUGCUUCUAGCAAAUGUUGGUGAGACUGGGGGAGACUGAGAGAAGGAUAUUGGCUUCUCUGGUGAGUUUGGAUUCUCUGGUCUAGCAAGUUCUGGAGAGGUUUCCUACUUAGUACUAGCUGAUGGAGCUGGGGAUGCCGGGGAAGAAAAGCUCAUCAGGCCAGGCCAGGGAACAGUUACUCAGUUUGUUGACUUUAAGAGGAACUGAACUACAGCUGUGGUCUAGGUGCAUGACUUGGCUCAGGCUUGCUUUUAAACAGGAACCUUGUGCACAUAUUUGAAAAAAUCAAGUCCGCAACACUGUUUACCUUAUUCUUAAAAGGCCGAGGACUAAGUUACACAUAUAAACCACAAUCUCUUUGCAUCAUCGCCUCAUCCUGUUUUUGCAAACCAGGAAGUCACCAUUCACUAUGACAUCAUGUUUUAGGGCCAUGGAAAACAGUGAUGUCAUGAGAAAGCAAAGUCAAAUCACUGAUUUACCAAAGGGUUUGGGUGGGUCUAAAUCUCCAUUCUCUGUGGGCCACAAUCCAAGGCCCACAGUUUAAAGACUGGCCUUCAAAUACUCUGGACAGAAUCACAAAUCCAUUUCCUUAAGAUAUAACUUUCCUUUGGGAACUUUUCUAAGAAGUUCUCAGAGAGGAAAACUCAAAUAUAUUCCUAUAGCAAGUACUAAAACAUGGGGAAAAGUAGUGCUAAAGGCACAGAUGCUUCUGGCUCAGACUAAGUGAGAGUGGGGUGGGAAGGGAUGGGCGAUCUAAGGUUCAAGUCGUCCCCCUGCUACUCUAUCUAGCCAAAUAUCUGACCAUAUUUCACCCUCCAGUGAUUUCUUUGCCUCAGGAUGGGUUAGGUUCUAUUCUUAUUGAGUUGGGGGCAACAGCCAUACUUUUAUGGUCUGUUGUUGGUUGAAUUCCAUUCUAACAGAAAAGCUAGUUCCAACUGUGGGGAGAGCUGCCACCUUCAAGACAACCUGAGAUUUUACCAAGAGCUCGGAGAAAGAAAAUUCCCCAAAUGGCAGGGAUAUGACUACUUUGGUUACUGACUCCUUAGUGACAUCUCUUGGGACCUGUUGCUUCACAGAAUGUGUUAAUUAUCCAUAGAACAAAAGCAGUUUUUCAAUAUGGAACUGGAAGGGAGGAAAGAAAACAGAAGGAAGUAAAAGAAAAAAGAAGGGAGAAAGGGAGCUGGAGAAGACAUUUUAUUUCAGACAUCUUCCAAGGACUGCAGGCUCAUCUUUGUUUCCCAGAGAAGCACACAACUUGCAAAGGGUAAUCCAGCAAAGUAACACUAACAUUAAGAUGGGGUUCCAGAUCUCCAAAUCUUAAGUAUGUCAAAAGGGUAGAACUAGUGGGGCAGAGAAAAGGGAAGAGAUGGAAAAACUUCAAGAAGGAAUUUUGUUCAAUCUAUUCUACUUGGUCUGAAAAAAUAUCUUCAUAUUGAACAUGAAAAAAAAAACACCUGACAAAACACCAGUAAAUAUAAUUUUUGAAUACAUACAAAUAUAUGCCUGGCAGUUAACAUUAGUUUCACCAAAACAAAAAAAAAACACCCCACAAAAAACAAAAACCCCACCAAAAAACCAAACAAUGAACUGGUAGCAUCCUUUCUGGAAGAAUUCUGAAUUUUCCAGGUCUCUAGAUUUCUUAUUUAGACAUCUUUGGUAGAGUUUCCAAUGGGACCUAAUAAGAGUAAAAUUAAUAAUAUCCUUAUAAAUCUUAGGAAAACUAGGAUUUUACUAUCCCCUCUACAAUUAGGGAAGGGGAAAGAGAUAUUUCCGUAAGAAAACAAUAGCACUGAAUAGCCUUGAUUUUCACAGCUCAUAUAUUUAAGGACCUCCAUGGGAAAAAAAAUCCUGGAAUUAUAUUUGGCAUCAUGGUUAAGAUAGGCUUAGUUAGGGCUGAUUUAUCCAUCUUCAGCUUGGUCUAGCCACUUCUGACCAACUGAGGAUACAAGUUGAUAGGAUUCAAAGUAGGAAGUUUAAGGGGAUAACUGAAAUAUCCAUGACUUUUUGGCCUCCUAGUGGCCGUCUUGAUUUACAGAGGGAUCAGUAGCAACAUAAAAAUGGGCUGCUCAAACCAGCUAGAAAAAGGGAUGUUUGUUAAGGUUUUUAAAAACGAGGAUAAAAAAGAUUUAUGGUUAUGUUUGAAUUUAGUACUAUUUGUUUUGAGGGAAUAAAAUUCAAAUCUUAGGAAGAAAA
Long non-coding RNA from Monodelphis domestica (gray short-tailed opossum), 2776 nucleotides. RefSeq lists it as uncharacterized. The record is from RefSeq and is a predicted model, not a curated record. Lineage: Eukaryota; Metazoa; Chordata; Mammalia; Didelphimorphia; Didelphidae.